CCCUUAGAUGUUCUGGGCUGCACGCGCGCUACACUGAUGCAUCCAACAAGUUUUUUCCUUGUUCGAGAGGACUAGGUAAUCUUAUGAGAAUGCAUCGUGAUGGGGAUAGAUUAUUGCAAUUAUUAAUCCUCGACGAGGAAUUCCUAGUAAGCGCGAGUCAUCAGCUCGUGCUGAUUACGUCCCUGCCCUUUGUACACACCGCCCGUCGCUGCAACUGAUUGGGUGACCUGGUGAACAUCUUGGACCGGCUCACUCAAUUUCGAGAGGACUGGAAAAGGCCGUAAAUCAGGUACAUCUAGAAAUUGCAAAAGUCGUAACA
This 319-nucleotide ribosomal RNA is filed under the name uncultured eukaryote. Its description in RNAcentral is "partial 18S ribosomal RNA". It matches the Rfam family "Eukaryotic small subunit ribosomal RNA", at positions 1470 to 1796 of the family's 1831-position model. The record is from RNAcentral.